Molecule: long non-coding RNA, 213 nt
Filed under: Carica papaya (papaya)
Lineage: Eukaryota; Viridiplantae; Streptophyta; Magnoliopsida; Brassicales; Caricaceae
Description: long non-coding RNA (CPAP_LNC005453)
Source: RNAcentral
UUCCUCCUGUUGUCAAAAUAGCUUUUCUAUCGACUUUGAGCAAUAAGUAGAUUCUGUUGGAUGAUAAAAAUCUUAUCAAUAAUCUUCUAGACUAGGUCAGAUCCUGAUAGAUGUGUCUUCCCAACUUUGUCCCAAUAGGAAGGAUAACAACAAGGUCUACCAUAUAAUGCUUUAUAGGGUGCCAUCCCUAUACUAGACUAAAAGCUGUUAUUG